RNAcentral lists this long non-coding RNA (886 nucleotides) under Aotus nancymaae (Ma's night monkey). RNAcentral describes it as "lncRNA (ENSANAG00000038575.1)". Lineage: Eukaryota; Metazoa; Chordata; Mammalia; Primates; Aotidae. The record is from RNAcentral.
CAUCCACCACAUGUAGAAGUUUCUGGCAUGUAGAAAAUGGUCAAGAAAUUACUGCUCAGUGGUGAGAAGACGGACAUCAGUAGGAGGAGUAUCAGUGGCAAGCACAGAAGACAAAUGGAGACAGAAAUGAGGACCGACAGAAUGACAGAGCUCAGAGGCAGCUCUUGAAAAGAGCAAGAAAGAAGCUGGAGGGAUCUACUUGCUAUUGUGUUGGAUUUUUUUUCCCCACUGCGGGCCCCUGGAUUGAAGGAGUUACUCUUUGAAGUCAACAAACUUGGAGGCUGAGUUCAUGAUUAGACCCACAUCCUUGCCCAAAAGGAAACUAAAUCAGAACAAGAUCAACCAGAGAAGGCUGAAGAAAAUUAAUAGGUGGUCAAAAACCUUAUAAAAAGAAAGCAUGGGAAGUUUGCUGCAGAAAGCCAGCCCCUAGAAUGUCAGAGUGGGAAGAAACACAAAGUAUCCUGUCCCUCCCCUUUCUUUGUUCAACUGCUCAUUUGUCCUUUCUCCGCUAUCUCAUAAGCAUUUACAUGAAUUUUCACAGGCUUUCAGCUCCAAUUUAGAUGGUAGUUUCUCAACGACAGAGUGAAGAUCGUCAAUUUCUUCUUCAUCCUUCCACAGCACUCUGCACACAAGCUGGUGUUCAAUGAAUACGUUCCGGCCAGGCACGGUGGUGGUGCGCGCCUGUAGUCGCAGCCACUUAGGAGGCUGACGCAGGAGGAAACGAGCGCAGGAGUUCCGGGCUUCAGCGAGCUGUGAUCACGCCACUGCCCUCCAGCUAGGACGACAGACUGAGACCCUGAAUCUAAAAAUAAAAACUAAAUUAAAAGUCCAUAAAUAUUUUGGAACUCAGAUAUAAGAAGUAUGAGUAAAAAUGCUUGGAUAAAAU